CCUACGGGGGUCUGCAGUGAGGAAUAUUGGUCAAUGGACGAGAGUCUGAACCAGCCAAGUAGCGUGAAGGAUGACUGCCCUAUGGGUUGUAAACUUCUUUUAUAUGGGAAUAAAAUGUUCCACGUGUGGGAUUUUGUAUGUACCAUAUGAAUAAGGAUCGGCUAACUCCGUGCCAGCAGCCGCGGUAAUACGGAGGAUCCGAGCGUUAUCCGGAUUUAUUGGGUUUAAAGGGAGCGUAGGUGGAUUGUUAAGUCAGUUGUGAAAGUUUGCGGCUCAACCGUAAAAUUGCAGUUGAAACUGGCAGUCUUGAGUACAGUAGAGGUGGGCGGAAUUCGUGGUGUAGCGGUGAAAUGCUUAGAUAUCACGAAGAACUCCGAUUGCGAAGGCAGUUCACUGGACUGCAACUGACACUGAGGCUCGAAAGUGUGGGUAUCAAACAGGAUUAGAUACCCUAGUAGUC
RNAcentral lists this ribosomal RNA (460 nucleotides) under uncultured bacterium. RNAcentral's name for it is "partial 16S ribosomal RNA". It matches the Rfam family "Bacterial small subunit ribosomal RNA", at positions 338 to 795 of the family's 1533-position model. The record is from RNAcentral.